Molecule: ribosomal RNA, 450 nt
Filed under: uncultured bacterium
Lineage: Bacteria
Description: partial 16S ribosomal RNA
Rfam family: Bacterial small subunit ribosomal RNA
Source: RNAcentral
GUGGGGAAUAUUGGACAAUGGGCGAAAGCCUGAUCCAGCCAUGCCGCGUGUGUGAAGAAGGUCUUCGGAUUGUAAAGCACUUUAAGUUGGGAGGAAGGGCAGUAAGUUAAUACCUUGCUGUUUUGACGUUACCGACAGAAUAAGCACCGGCUAACUCUGUGCCAGCAGCCGCGGUAAUACAGAGGGUGCAAGCGUUAAUCGGAAUUACUGGGCGUAAAGCGCGCGUAGGUGGUUCGUUAAGUUGGAUGUGAAAGCCCCGGGCUCAACCUGGGAACUGCUUUCAAAACUGCUGAGCUAGAGUACGGUAGAGGGUGGUGGAAUUUCCUGUGUAGCGGUGAAAUGCGUAGAUAUAGGAAGGAACACCAGUGGCGAAGGCGACCACCUGGACUGAUACUGACACUGAGGUGCGAAAGCGUGGGGAGCAAACAGGAUUAGAUACCCGUGUAGUCC